RNAcentral lists this ribosomal RNA (570 nucleotides) under Triticum aestivum (bread wheat). RNAcentral's name for it is "partial small subunit ribosomal RNA". The record is from RNAcentral. Lineage: Eukaryota; Viridiplantae; Streptophyta; Magnoliopsida; Poales; Poaceae.
AUGCACUAGUUUGCAUGGUGGAAGAUGUGUAUUCCCAAGAAAAAAGGGGUUAUGGGCUUCAGAGAUAUUCACUGCUUUAAUCUUGCACUUCUGGCAAAACAGGCAUGGCGCCUUAUUGACAACCCGAACUCUUUGUGUGCGUUGAUCCUUAAGGAGAAAUAUUUUCCUGAUGGAGAUCUCAUGAAUGCAACUUUAAAAAAGAAGAGUUCAUAUACAUGGCGGAGUAUUAUGGCCGGAGUUGAUACGCUUAGAUCUAGGUAUAUUUGGGGAGUUAGUGAUGGUGAGAAAAUUAGAAUAUGGGAUGAUCCCUGGAUACUGCAGAGCCUAACAAGAAAGGUGAUUUCACCAAGGGGCAACAAUCUUCUUUCUAGAGUUUCUGGCCUCAUUGAUCUGGUGAUAGGGAGUUGGGAUGAGCAGCUGGUUAACCAAAUAGUCUGGCAAGUGGAUGCUCUAAGGAUUUUGGCCAUUCCACUACCAUUACAUGAGAUGACAGAUUUCCUGGCAUGGACCAUGACAAAGUCAGGGACUUCCACAGUGCGAUCUGCAUACCAUACAGAAUGGGAAUUUUAA